ACGGAGGCAGCAGUGGGGAAUAUUGCACAAUGGGGGAAACCCUGAUGCAGCGACGCCGCGUGAGUGAAGAAGUAUUUCGGUAUGUAAAGCUCUAUCAGCAGGGAAGAAAAUGACGGUACCUGACUAAGAAGCCCCGGCUAACUACGUGCCAGCAGCCGCGGUAAUACGUAGGGGGCAAGCGUUAUCCGGAUUUACUGGGUGUAAAGGGAGCGCAGACGGCAAGGCAAGUCUGAUGUGAAAGGUGGGGGCUCAACCCCCAAACUGCAUUGGAAACUGUCUGGCUAGAGUGCCGGAGAGGUAAGCGGAAUUCCUAGUGUAGCGGUGAAAUGCGUAGAUAUUAGGAGGAACACCAGUGGCGAAGGCGGCUUACUGGACGGUAACUGACGUUGAGGCUCGAAAGCGUGGGGAGCAAACAGGAUUAGAUACCCUGGUA
This 433-nucleotide ribosomal RNA is filed under the name uncultured Lachnospiraceae bacterium. RNAcentral's name for it is "partial 16S ribosomal RNA". It matches the Rfam family "Bacterial small subunit ribosomal RNA", at positions 341 to 792 of the family's 1533-position model. The record is from RNAcentral. Lineage: Bacteria; Bacillati; Bacillota; Clostridia; Lachnospirales; Lachnospiraceae.